GAUGAACGCUGGCGGCGUGCCUAAUACAUGCAAGUAGAACGCUGAAGCUUGGUGCUUGCACCGAGCGGAUGAGUUGCGAACGGGUGAGUAACGCGUAGGUAACCUGCCUCUUAGCGGGGGAUAACUAUUGGAAACGAUAGCUAAUACCGCAUAAAAGUUGACAUUGCAUGAUGUUGAUUUGAAAGAUGCAAUUGCAUCACUAAGAGAUGGACCUGCGUUGUAUUAGCUAGUUGGUGAAGUAACGGCUCACCAAGGCGACGAUACAUAGCCGACCUGAGAGGGUGAUCGGCUACACUGGGACUGAGACACGGCCCAGACUCCUACGGGAGGCAGCAGUAGGGAAUCUUCGGCAAUGGGGGCAACCCUGACCGAGCAACGCCGCGUGAGUGAAGAAGGUUUUCGGAUCGUAAAGCUCUGUUGUAAGAGAAGAACGAGUGUGAGAGUGGAAAGUUCACACUGUGACGGUAACUUACCAGAAAGGGACGGCUAACUACGUGCCAGCAGCCGCGGUAAUACGUAGGUCCCGAGCGUUAUCCGGAUUUAUUGGGCGUAAAGCGAGCGCAGGCGGUUAGAUAAGUCUGAAGUUAAAGGCUGUGGCUUAACCAUAGUACGCUUUGGAAACUGUUUAACUUGAGUGCAGAAGGGGAGAAUGGAAUUCCAUGUGUAGCGGUGAAAUGCGUAGAUAUAUGGAGGAACACCGGUGGCGAAAGCGGCUCUCUGGUCUGUAACUGACGCUGAGGCUCGAAAGCGCGGGGAGCAAACAGG
RNAcentral lists this ribosomal RNA (765 nucleotides) under uncultured Streptococcus sp. Its description in RNAcentral is "bacterial SSU rRNA". It matches the Rfam family "Bacterial small subunit ribosomal RNA", at positions 28 to 776 of the family's 1533-position model. The record is from RNAcentral. Lineage: Bacteria; Bacillati; Bacillota; Bacilli; Lactobacillales; Streptococcaceae.